GAUGAACGCUGGCGGCGUGCCUAAUACAUGCAAGUCGAACGCGAGCAGCAAUGCUCGAGUGGCGAACGGGUGAGUAAUACAUAAGUAACCUGCCCUGGAGUGGGGGGACAACAGUUGGAAACGACUGCUAAUACCGCAUAAGCCCACGGCCCGGCAUCGGGCUGAGGGAAAAGGAUUUAUUCGCUUCAGGAUGGACUCGCGUCCAAUUAGCUAGUUGGUGAGGUAACGGCCCACCAAGGCGACGAUUGGUAGCCGGACUGAGAGGUUGAACGGCCACAUUGGGACUGAGACACGGGCCCAG
Molecule: ribosomal RNA, 301 nt
Filed under: uncultured bacterium
Lineage: Bacteria
Description: bacterial SSU rRNA
Rfam family: Bacterial small subunit ribosomal RNA
Source: RNAcentral